This 322-nucleotide ribosomal RNA is filed under the name uncultured eukaryote. RNAcentral's name for it is "partial 18S ribosomal RNA". It matches the Rfam family "Eukaryotic small subunit ribosomal RNA", at positions 1470 to 1796 of the family's 1831-position model. The record is from RNAcentral.
CCCUUAGAUGUUCUGGGCCGCACGCGUGCUACACUGAACGGUUCAAUGGGUAAGGUAGUGCGAAAGCAUGACCUAAUCUCGAAAUCCGUUCGUGCUGGGGAUAGAAGCUUGCAAUUAUCCUUCUUGAACGAGGAAUACCUUGUAAGCGUGAGUCAUCAUCUCACGCUGAGUACGUCCCUGCCCUUUGUACACACCGCCCGUCGCUCCUACCGAUUGAGUGUUCCGGUGAGGCUUCGGGAGAACUGGGUGGAUUGUGUUUCACAAACUGCUCGGUUUGAACUUAGUCAAACCUUAUCACUUAGAGGAAGGAGAAGUCGUAACA